UACGAAGGCAGCAGUGGGGAAUAUUGCACAAUGGGCGCAAGCCUGAUGCAGCCAUGCCGCGUGUAUGAAGAAGGCCUUCGGGUUGUAAAGUACUUUCAGUCGUGAGGAAGGUGUUAAGGUUAAUAACCUUAGCAAUUGACGUUAGCGACAGAAGAAGCACCGGCUAACUCCGUGCCAGCAGCCGCGGUAAUACGGAGGGUGCGAGCGUUAAUCGGAAUUACUGGGCGUAAAGGGCACGCAGGCGGUUAAUUAAGUUGGAUGUGAAAUCCCCGGGCUUAACCUGGGAAUGGCAUUCAAGACUGGUUAGCUAGAGUCUUGUAGAGGGGGUAGAAUUCCGAUGUGUAGCGGUGAAAUGCGUAGAGAUGUGGAGGAAUACCGGUGGCGAAGGCGGCCCCUGGACAAAGACUGACGCUCAUGUGCGAAAGCGUGGGGAGCAAA
This 438-nucleotide ribosomal RNA is filed under the name uncultured bacterium. RNAcentral describes it as "bacterial SSU rRNA". It matches the Rfam family "Bacterial small subunit ribosomal RNA", at positions 340 to 772 of the family's 1533-position model. The record is from RNAcentral.